Molecule: ribosomal RNA, 301 nt
Filed under: uncultured bacterium
Lineage: Bacteria
Description: partial 16S ribosomal RNA
Rfam family: Bacterial small subunit ribosomal RNA
Source: RNAcentral
CAGUCGCCGCGGUAAUACGUAGGUGGCAAGCGUUGUCCGGAAUUAUUGGGCGUAAAGGGCUCGCAGGCGGUUUCUUAAGUCUGAUGUGAAAGCCCCCGGCUCAACCGGGGAGGGUCAUUGGAAGCUGGGAAACUUGAGUGCAGAAGAGGAGAGUGGAAUUCCACGUGUAGCGGUGAAAUGCGUAGAGAUGUGGAGGAACACCAGUGGCGAAGGCGACUCUCUGGUCUGUAACUGACGCUGAGGAGCGAAAGCGUGGGGAGCGAACAGGAUUAGAUACCCGAGUAGUCCCUGUCUCUUAUAC